AGCCAAUCAGGACUUCGAGACAGAACCUUCAGUCAUAGUGGGGCGGGCACUUCCUGUUCGCCAUAUUACCCGCUUUGCUGUGAAUCUGAGGAAAGCAGAUUUGACCAUCUUCCGGGAGCUGAGGGGAGAGCGAGGUGACCUAGGAAUCCGCGUCAUGGCUGCAGUGACCUAUGAGGAUGUGCAUGUGAACUUCUCUCAGGAAGAGUGGGCUUUGCUGGGUCCUUCCCAGAAGAGUCUCUACAGAGAUGUGAUGCUGGAGACCUGCAGGAACCUCACGGCUAUAGGCUACAAAUGGGAAGACCACAAUAUUGAAGAACGUUGUCAAAGUUCUGGAAGAUGUAAAAGGUAUAAUAUCUGUCACUCUGGACCCCAGCCUUAUGAGCAUAAGGGAUAUGGAAAGAAGCAAUGUACCUUUGCAAGUAACAGUGCUCUUCAAACAUAUGGAAGAGUUCAUACUGAAGAGAAAUCCUAUAAAUGUAAUCAGUGCAGUAAACCCUUUGCAGAUUUUAAUAGUCUUCGACAACAUGAAAGAAGUCACAGUAGAAAAAAACUCUAUGAAUGUAAUCACUGUGGUAAAGCUUUUCCAAGUCGAAGUUCUCUUCAAGUACAUGAAAGAACUCAUACAGGAGAGAAACCCUAUGAUUGCAAUGAAUGUGGUAAAGCCUUUUCAACUCGCAGUCAUCUUCAAAUACACCAAAGAACUCACACUGGAGAGAAACCCUAUGAUUGCAAUGAAUGUGGUAAAGCAUUUGCAAGUAAAGGUAAUCUUCAAAUACACCAAAGAACUCAUACAGGAGAGAAACCAUAUUGUUGCAAUGAAUGUGGUAAAGCAUUUGCUACUCACAAUAAUCUUCAAAUACAUGAAAUAAUUCAUACUGGAGAGAAACCCUAUGAAUGUAAUGAAUGUGGUAGAGCCUUUGCAUACAGCAGAGCUCUUGAAGCACAUGAGAAAACUCAUACUGGAGAGAAACCCUAUGAGUGUAACCAAUGCAGCAAAGCCUUUGCAAGCCAUGCUAGUCUUCGAAAUCAUCUAAAACAUCAUACUGGAGAGAAACUCUUUGUAUGUACACAAUGUGGUAAGGCCUUUACGAGUCAGAGUAUCCUUCACAGGCAUGAAAGAACUCACACUGGUGAGAAACCUUAUGAGUGUAAUCAAUGUGGUAAAACCUUUGCACUUCACAGUUAUCUACAAAUACACAAAAGAACUCACACUGGAGAGAAACCCUAUGAAUGUAAUCAGUGUGGUAAAGCCUUUACAAGUCAUGCUAAUCUUCAAAAUCAUGAAAAACAUCAUACUGGAGAAAAACCAUAUGGAUGUAAUCAAUGUGGUAAAGCCUUUGUAUGUAGUAGCAGUCUUCAAAUACAUGAAAGAAGUCACACUGGAGAUAAGCCUUAUGAAUGUCAUCAGUGUGGUAAAGCCUUUACAAGUCGCAGUUAUAUUCAAAUACAUGAAAGAAUUCAUACUGGAGAGAAACCCUAUGGAUGCAAGCAAUGUGGUAAAGCCUUUGCAUAUAGCAGUAGUCUUCAAAUACAUGAAAGAAGUCAUACUAGAGAGAAACUUUAUGAAUGUACUCAUUGUGGUAAAGCUUUUGCAAGUCGCAGUUAUCUUCAAAUACACAAAAGAGUUCAUACUGGAGAGAAACCGUAUGAAUGUAAUCAGUGUGGUGAAGCCUUUGCCAGUCGUGCUAGUCUUCAGAAUCAUGAAAAGCAUCACACUGGAGAGAAACCUUAUGGAUGUAACCAAUGUGGUAAGGUCUUUGCACGUCGCAGUAAUCUUCAAAUACAUGAAAGAAUUCAUACUGGAGAAAAACCCUAUGGAUGUCAGCACUGUGGUAAAGCCUUUGUAUUAAAGCGUGAUCUUCAAAUACAUGAAAGGAUUCAUACUGGAGAAAAACCCUAUGGAUGUAAGCAAUGUGGUAAAGCCUUUGUAUGUAGUAGCAGUCUUAAAAUACAUGAAAGAACUCACACUGGAGAGAAACCUUGUGAAUGUAAUCAGUGUGGUAAAGCCUUUGCAAGUCGAAGUUAUCUUCAAAUACACAAAAGAGUUCAUACUGGAGAGAAACCGUAUGAAUGUAAUCUUUGUGGUAAAGCCUUUGUAAGUCAUAGUUAUCUCCAAGUACACAAAAGGACUCAUACUGGACAGAACCCAAAUGAAUGUAGUCAAUGUGGUAAAGCCUUUGUAAGUCACAGUUACCUUCAGAUACACAAAAGACUUCAUACUGGAGAGAAACCGUAUAGAUGUAAUCAAUGUGGUAAAGCCUUUACAUAUAACCGAGAUCUUCAUAGGCAUGAAAUAAUUCACACUGGAGAGAAACCCUAUGAAUGUAAUCAGUGUGGUAAAGCCUUUGCAAGUCGAAGUUAUCUUCAAAUACACAAAAGAAUUCAUACUGGAGUGAAACCAUAAGAAUGUACUCAAUGUGGUAAAGCCUUUAUUUGCAUAUCAUAUUAGCUUUUGUGAUCACAAAAAAAUUUUGUACUGGAUAGGAUUAUGGAUGUAAUUGAUGCAAUACAAGUUUGACUCAUCAGUAUAAUCUUGGAACACAUCCUAGACGUAGUAUUUGAGAAAAGUCAAUGUCAUAAUGCCUCUGCAUGUCAUAGUCUUCUUCAAAAUUGUGAAAGCAUUCCUACUGGGAAUAAUCACUGUGAAUCUAAUAGAUGCCCUGAAGCCUGCACACCAAGCACAUUUGUCCCACUGAGCCAUCUUCUGGUGCUUAUAGAAGAUUAGCAGAACUAUUUCAUCCUUAAAAAAAAUUGUCUUGUUUUCUUAUAAACAUAUUGUCACCCAAGAAAAGAAUACCACAGUAAUUUGAAUAAUAAGACUUAUUUGCAAAUGACAAUUAUAUACUGCCAUCCAUUUUUAUGGGUUAGUUUAUCCUGAGGAAUAAAUACUUGUUCUUAACACUUUCUAAGAAACACAAAUGAAUGGCAGAGAAUUGUCAUGUGGGUAAAGGAGGUUGCUGCUAAGCCUGAUGAUCUGAGUUUAUUCUGUGGGAGACGAACAUUACUCAUGCAAGUUUUUCUCUGAUCACUACACUUGUGCUGUGACAUAUGCACACCCACACAGCAGCACAUACAUAAAUAUUUUUAAACUUAAAUAAGCACCAGUCAGGUCACUCACCAGUUGAAGAUACUUGCUGCAAAACUUGACUCUGUGGGUCACCAAGGUAAAAAUUAUUGAACAUGAAAUUAAGAAAACAAAAUAGCCACAGUAUUGAGCACAUAAAUGAUCUACCACUUGUAAUUAAUAUAUUGUUGUAUUCCAAGAGGUGCUUUUGUUCUACAAAGAAUGAUGGUUUAUGCAUAAAUCUUACAUUAUCCUUUCAUUCUCUGAUUCAAAGAUAGGUCAUUGUAAAAACUCCUCAGUUGGGUGUAGAGGUACUUGCCUGUAAUCCCAGCACUUGGUAGAAAGUGAGUUCCAGGAUGAUAUGGUUAUGUGUAGAGACCCUGUCUCAAAAAAAAAAAAAAAUCCAUAAGCCAACCAUCCUACCACUACCACCAUAAACUACAAAAAUC
RNA transcript from Mastomys coucha (southern multimammate mouse), 3513 nucleotides. It is a transcript of the gene named zinc finger protein 431-like, with no coding region annotated. NCBI's taxonomy places the organism in Eukaryota, Metazoa, Chordata, Mammalia, Rodentia, Muridae. The record is from RefSeq and is a predicted model, not a curated record. The transcript is spliced from 4 exons.